GAACUAGUACCGUGAGGGAAAGGUGAAAAGAACCCCGGGAGGGGAGUGAAAUAGAACAUGAAAUCAUAAGCUUACAAGCAGUAGGAGGACGACUUAACGUUUGACUACGUUCCUGUUGAAGAAUGAGCCGGCGACUUAUAGGGAAUGGCAUGGUUAAAAUUAUAUUGGAGCCGUAGCGAAAGCGAGUUUGAAUUAGAGCGUUUGUCAUUUUUUAUAGACCCGAACCCGGAUGAUCUAACCAUGGCCAGGUUGAAACUUAGGUAAUACUAAUUGGAGGACCGAACCGACUGAUGUUGAAAAAUCAGCGGAUGAGUUGUGGUUAGGGGUGAAAUGCCAAUCGAAUCCGGAGCUAGCUGGUUCUCCCCGAAAUGUGUUUAGGCGCAGCGGUUAAUUUUGUAUUUUAGGGGUAAAGCACUGUUUCGAUGCGGGCCGGUAAUUCGGUACCAAAUCGAGGCAAACUAAGAAUACUAAAAUAUCUUUUAACCAGUAAGACUGUGGGGGAUAAGCUCCAUUGUCAAGAGGGAAACAGCCCAGACCACCAGCUAAGGCCCCUAAAUAAUUACUAAGUGAUAAAGGAAGUAGAAGUGCUUAGACAACCAGGAGGUUUGCUUAGAAGCAGCAAUCCUUUAAAGAAUGCGUAAUAGCUCACUGGUCGAGUAAAUUUGCGCCGAAAAUGUAUGGGGCUAAGUAAUUUGCCGAAGCUGUGGGAUAUCUAUAUUAUAAAUAUCGGUAGGGGAGCGUUCUGUUAUAGGUUGAAGCAUUAGCGAAAGCGGGUGUGGACGAAACAGAAGUGAGAAUGUCGGCUUGAGUAGCGAAAACAUUGGUGAGAAUCCAAUGCCCCGAAAACCUAAGGUUUCCUUCGGAAGGCUCGUCCGCGGAGGGUAAGUCAGGACCUAAGGCGAGGCUGAGAAGCGUAGUCGAUGGACAACAGGUUAAUAUUCCUGUACUAUUAAUAAUCAAGUAAGGGCAAGGAGUGACGGAGCAGGCUAAGCUAGCCGGAUUCUGGUUACCGGUUUAAACGUUCUAAGUGUUGAUAAAUAGAGAAAAUAUUUUGAGCUGAGACGUGAAUACGUUAUGCUACGGCAUUUAAGUAGUUGAUGUCAUACUUCCAAGAAAAGCUUCCACUGUCGAAUUAUUAAUACCUGUACUGUAAACCGACACAGGUGGGUAAGUAGAGAAUACUAAGGGGCGCGAGAUAACUCUCUCUAAGGAACUCGGCAAAAUAGCCCCGUAACUUUGGGAGAAGGGGUACCUUGAGAAAGGUUGCAAUAAUCAGGUCCAAGCGACUGUUUACCAAAAACACAGGUCUCCGCUAAGUCGUAAGACGAUGUAUGGGGGCUGACGCCUGCCCAGUGCCGGAAGGUUAAAGAAGUCGGUUUUUGCUGAUAACUGAAGCCCCGGUGAACGGCGGCCGUAACUAUAACGGUCCUAAGGUAGCGAAAUUCCUUGUCGGGUAAG
RNAcentral lists this ribosomal RNA (1458 nucleotides) under seawater metagenome. RNAcentral's name for it is "bacterial LSU rRNA". It matches the Rfam family "Bacterial large subunit ribosomal RNA", at positions 492 to 1980 of the family's 2925-position model. The record is from RNAcentral.